GGGAAGAGCUCAAAUUUAAAAUCUGGCAGUCUUUUUGGCUGUCCGAGUUGUAAUUUAGAGAAGUGUUACCCGUGCUGGACCGUAUACAAGUCCUCUGGAAUGGGGCGUCAUAGAGGGUGAGAAUCCCGUCUUUGAUACGGACUACCAGUGCUUUGUGGUGCACUCUCGAAGAGUCGAGUUGUUUGGGAAUGCAGCUCAAAAUGGGUGGUAAAUUCCAUCUAAAGCUAAAUACAGGCGAGAGACCGAUAGCGAACAAGUACCGUGAGGGAAAGAUGAAAAGAACUUUGGAAAGAGAGUUAAACAGUACGUGAAAUUGCUGAAAGGGAAACGCUUGAAGUCAGUCGCAUUGUCUGAGAAUCAGCCUUGCUUCAUUUGCAUGGUGUACUUCUUAGUUGAUGGGUCAGCAUCAGUUUUGACUGCUGGAUAAAGUUCAAAGGAAUGUGGCAUCCUUGGAUGUGUUAUAGCCCUUGUUCGUAUACAGCAGUUGGGACUGAGGAACUCAGCACGCCGAAAGGCCGGGUUUUU
This 525-nucleotide unclassified non-coding RNA is filed under the name Clitocybula oculus. RNAcentral describes it as "sequence contains 28S rRNA gene". It matches the Rfam family "Eukaryotic large subunit ribosomal RNA", at positions 100 to 620 of the family's 3401-position model. Lineage: Eukaryota; Fungi; Basidiomycota; Agaricomycetes; Agaricales; Porotheleaceae. The record is from RNAcentral.